Molecule: ribosomal RNA, 492 nt
Filed under: uncultured bacterium
Lineage: Bacteria
Description: partial 16S ribosomal RNA
Rfam family: Bacterial small subunit ribosomal RNA
Source: RNAcentral
AGUGAACGCUGGCGGUAGGCCUAACACAUGCAAGUCGAACGGCAGCACAGUAAGAGCCUGCUCUUACGGGUGGCGAGUGGCGGACGGGUGAGGAAUACAUCGGAAUCUACUUUUUCGUGGGGGAUAACGUAGGGAAACUUACGCUAAUACCGCAUACGACCUACGGGUGAAAGCAGGGGAUCUUCGGACCUUGCGCGAUUGAAUGAGCCGAUGUCGGAUUAGCUAGUUGGCGGGGUAAAGGCCCACCAAGGCGACGAUCCGUAGCUGGUCUGAGAGGAUGAUCAGCCACACUGGAACUGAGACACGGUCCAGACUCCUACGGGAGGCAGCAGUGGGGAAUAUUGGACAAUGGGCGCAAGCCUGAUCCAGCCAUACCGCGUGGGUGAGGAAGGCCUUCGGGUUGUAAAGCCCUUUUGUUGGGAAAGAAAAGCAGCAGGUUAAUACCCCGCUGUUCUGACGGUACCCAAAGAAUAAGCACCGGCUAACUUCGUG